GGGGGUGAACGGUUUCGACUCUGGACGUCGAUUCAGUGGGAAGCGUGCCGGUGCAGGCGAGAUGACCACCGUAAGCGUCGCUCGCAAACCAAUAAGCGCCGAAACUAACGUUCGCGCUGACUACGACCUCGCUGCCUAAGUAGCGGGUCGGGUCUGUCGGCCCAGGGAUGCCUCCGCCCUGGAUCCCGGCAUCAGCUAGGAGGACUACCGCCAGCCUCGGUCACGGGGGUUGGUUGGGAAACAAACAGUGACUGGGCUCGUCACACCGGCUUGUUCGCGUGACCGGUGGGGCCAAGUAGAGACAAGGCGGACUGCGCACGGAGAAGCCCUGAUGAAGCGACAGAGGACCCGGGUUCGAUUCCCGGCACCUCCACAG
RNAcentral lists this transfer-messenger RNA (376 nucleotides) under Actinokineospora alba. RNAcentral describes it as "Standard tmRNA". It matches the Rfam family "transfer-messenger RNA". Rfam says of the family: Bacterial tmRNA, also known as 10Sa RNA or SsrA, is named for its dual tRNA and mRNA-like properties. Its role is to liberate the mRNA from a stalled ribosome. To accomplish this part of the tmRNA is used as a reading frame that ends in a translation stop signal. Lineage: Bacteria; Bacillati; Actinomycetota; Actinomycetes; Pseudonocardiales; Pseudonocardiaceae. The record is from Rfam by way of RNAcentral.